Molecule: non-coding RNA, 662 nt
Organism: Solanum lycopersicum (tomato)
Lineage: Eukaryota; Viridiplantae; Streptophyta; Magnoliopsida; Solanales; Solanaceae
Source: RefSeq, a predicted model, not a curated record
UUGGAUGAAUUUAAUUAAAUUUGAUCAAUGUAAGUAAGUUUAUUGUAAGCAUUUUUCUUUGUUCACCAAUAAACAAAAUAGUUAAGUAAAUCCUUUUUCCAAAAUUCAAAAGUGGAAAAGAAAUUUAAGUAAGUUUUUGUAAGCAUUUUUCAUUGUUCACCAAUAAACAAAAUAGUUAAGUAAAAUCUUUUUCCAAAAUUCAAAGUGGCAAAGAAAUUUACCCUUUUCAAAAUUGGAAAUAAACAUGUGGCAAGUAAUUAAUGAUUUUAGGUAUUAUAAAUAGUCACAAUAUGAAACAUUCUAAUGUCAAAAAAAAAAAACUUUUCUUUACACAAAAAAACAUGGCUAAAGCUUCAACCAUUCUUUUGUAUUUGGCCAUUUUGUUGAUCUUUUCAUCUGAUGUCAUUUUGAUGGGACAAGCAUGUACUUUGGCAUCAGAGUGUCCACAAUGUAGGGUUGGAAUUCCAGAAUGUGCUGAUGGUGUGUGUAUAUGUUGUGUUGGUCGAACAUGUCAAGGUGAUCAAGAAAACAUUAAUCUAGGUCAAAUAUUAUGAUCUUACAAGAUUAUUCUAAUUAGUUAUUAAAGCUUUUUAGAGCUUAUUAUAUGUCAGUCCAAAAUAUGAUUAUUGAAUAUUAAUAAAGAUUAUUAUAUUUUAUCAAAA